RNAcentral lists this unclassified non-coding RNA (204 nucleotides) under fungal sp. Its description in RNAcentral is "partial internal transcribed spacer region". The stretch from base 1 to 46 matches the Rfam family "Eukaryotic small subunit ribosomal RNA", at positions 1786 to 1831 of the family's 1831-position model. The record is from RNAcentral. Lineage: Eukaryota; Fungi.
AAGUCGUAACAAGGUAACCGUAGGUGAACCUGCGGUUGGAUCAUUAAUAAAUCUAGAAGGUCUUAAAGACCUUUCUAACAUCUUGUGAAUCGUUUAUGUCUCUAGUGUAUUCUGUACGCUGAGUAAACUUUGUAUUAAUAUUUGUCUUUAAAAAUUUAUAAAAGUAAUUAAAACAACUUUUGACAACGGAUCUCUAGGCUCUCA